Molecule: ribosomal RNA, 253 nt
Filed under: uncultured bacterium
Lineage: Bacteria
Description: partial 16S ribosomal RNA
Rfam family: Bacterial small subunit ribosomal RNA
Source: RNAcentral
UACAGGGGGUGCUAGCGUUGUUCGGAAUUACUGGGCGUAAAGGGCGCGUAGGUGGUCUCGCAAGUCAGAAGUGAAAUCCCGGAGCUUAACUCCGGAAUUGCUCCUGAUACUGCGGGGCUAGAGUGUAUUAGAGGAUGGCGGAAUUCCUAGUGUAGUGGUGAAAUACGUAGAUAUUAGGAAGAACACCGGUGGCGAAGGCGGCCAUCUGGGAUACAACUGACACUGAGGCGCGAAAGCGUGGGGAUCAAACAGG